CCUACGGGUGGCAGCAGUGGGGAAUAUUGCACAAUGGGGGAAACCCUGAUGCAGCGACGCCGCGUGAGCGAUGACGUAUCUCGGUAUGUAAAGCUCUAUCAGCAGGGAAGCAAAUGACGGUACCUGACUAAGAAGCCCCGGCUAACUACGUGCCAGCAGCGGCGGUAAUAAGUAGGUGGCAAGCGUUAUCCGGAUUUACUGGGUGUAAAGGGAGCUUAGGCGGCGGUGUAAGCCAGAUGGGAAAGGCCGGGGCUCAACCCCGGGACGGCAUGUGAAACUGUGCUGCUAGAGUGACGGAGAGGCAGGCGGAAUGCGUAGUGUAGCGGUGAAAUGCGUAGAGAUCAGGAGGAACACCAGUGGCGAAGGCGGCCUUCUGGACGUUAACUGACGUUGAGGCUCGAAAGCGUGGGGAGCAAACAGGAUUAGAUACCCCUGUAGUC
This 440-nucleotide ribosomal RNA is filed under the name uncultured bacterium. Its description in RNAcentral is "partial 16S ribosomal RNA". It matches the Rfam family "Bacterial small subunit ribosomal RNA", at positions 338 to 795 of the family's 1533-position model. The record is from RNAcentral.